Molecule: ribosomal RNA, 253 nt
Filed under: uncultured bacterium
Lineage: Bacteria
Description: partial 16S ribosomal RNA
Rfam family: Bacterial small subunit ribosomal RNA
Source: RNAcentral
GACGAACCGAGCGAACGUUAUUCGGAAUCAUUGGGCGUAAAGCGCGCGUAGGCGGCCAGAUAAGUCCGGUGUGAAAGUCACAGGCUCAACCUGUGAAUGCCGCUGGAAACUGUCUGGCUAGAGUCCGGAAGGGGCGAGUGGAAUUCCUGGUGUAGCGGUGAAAUGCGUAGAGAUGGGGGAGAACACUCGUGGCGAAGGCGGCCAGCUGGACCAGUUCUGACGCUGAGACGCGAAAGCGUGGGGAGCAAACAGG